Molecule: ribosomal RNA, 460 nt
Filed under: uncultured bacterium
Lineage: Bacteria
Description: partial 16S ribosomal RNA
Rfam family: Bacterial small subunit ribosomal RNA
Source: RNAcentral
CCUACGGGUGGCAGCAGUGAGGAAUAUUGGUCAAUGGGCGGGAGCCUGAACCAGCCAAGUCGCGUGAGGGAAGACGGUCCUAUGGAUUGUAAACCUCUUUAGGCGGGGAGCAAUGCCGGGCACGCGUGCCCGGAGGGAGAGUACCCGCAGAAUAAGCAUCGGCUAACUCCGUGCCAGCAGCCGCGGUAAUACGGAGGAUGCGAGCGUUAUCCGGAUUUAUUGGGUUUAAAGGGUGCGUAGGCGGAUUUUUAAGUCAGCGGUAAAAUGUCCGGGCUCAACCCGGGCCGGCCGUUGAAGCUGGGGAUCUUGAGUGGGCGAGAAGUAUGCGGAAUGCGUGGUGUAGCGGUGAAAUGCAUAGAUAUUACACAGAACACCGAUUGCGAAGGCAGCUUGCUAGGCCGGAUCUGACACUGAUGCACGAAAGCGUGGGGAUCGAACAGGAUUAGAUACCCCAGUAGUC